RNAcentral lists this transfer RNA (76 nucleotides) under Desulfovibrio intestinalis. RNAcentral's name for it is "tRNA-Phe". Lineage: Bacteria; Pseudomonadati; Thermodesulfobacteriota; Desulfovibrionia; Desulfovibrionales; Desulfovibrionaceae. The record is from RNAcentral.
GUGAAAGUGGCUGAAAAUGGCCUUUGGGGGACUGAAAAUCCCCGUGUCGGCAGUUCAAUUCUGUCCCUCGGCACCA